RNAcentral lists this long non-coding RNA (1092 nucleotides) under Anser brachyrhynchus (Pink-footed goose). Its description in RNAcentral is "lncRNA (ENSABRG00000013869.1)". The record is from RNAcentral. Lineage: Eukaryota; Metazoa; Chordata; Aves; Anseriformes; Anatidae.
GGAGCUCACCUCGCCGGGAGGGUGACGGCAGGACGGGUCUGUCCCACGCACCUCGCCUCUCGCCCCUUUCUGCUGCCUGCCUGGAUGGAGCCCUCGUCCCUCUCCCUCCUCCUCCUCCUCCUUCUUUCUCUCCUCCUCCUCCUCCUCCUCCUCCUCCUCCUGCGCCGCAGCCCGGAGCUCACUGGCUGCGAGCGCCGCGGACCAGCUUGUUCUCAUUAGGGCCGCUUUGGGGAGGGAGCAGGGGAGGCCGGCGAGGGGCAGGCGGCCCCCAGACCCACCACGGCCCCCUCCAAGGGGGGACAGCCCACAGCUGGGGGCCUCUCAGCAUGAUGGGGUGCCCCUCUGCAUCCCCGCAUCCCCACACCGCUUUUUGGGGUGCAGGAGCAGAAAGAGGGGGCAAGGGGAGGGCUUUGCUGCGAGGGCUGGAGGUAAAAGCGUGGCUCCUGCAGAGCCGUAUGUAGCCCCACAACGCAAGGCCCAGCCUCAGCUCCUGGGCCCCAGCACCCCAGCCCGGGGCCAAAUCCUGUCCCUGUGCCCAGCUCUGCAAACCCAAACCCCGCCGCAGUGCGGGCUGGUGGGGCGCAGCCACCCCGUCCUGCAAGGCAAGGUCACGCAUCUGCCCCGGGAGCAAAAGGGACCCAAAACCCAUGUGGGGGCUCUGCCCAUCUGCCCCAUCGAUCCAUCUAUUGAUCCAUCGAUUGAUGGAUCCACCCAUCCAUCCAUCCAUCCAUCCAUCCAUCCAUCCAUCCAUCCAUCCAUCCAUCCACCCACCCACCCAUCCAUCCGUCAUCCACCCAGCCAUUUCCCCAUCCACCCGCCCACCCCAGAGCCCUAGAGGUAGGGACAGGGAUGAGGAUGGGGACAGGGAUGAGGUGAGGGAUGGGGAGGAUUUGGGGCUUCGUUCCCCAGCACUUUAAGGCCUCUCGAUGUGGCAUGGGGGCAAACAGGGCUUGGGACCAACCCCCCCCCUUGGUUUUAGGAGCCCGUUUCCUAAACCCACGGCCUGGAAAAGCUCCUGCACAAGGAACUCAUUCUUGGGGUGCAGGCAGCGGUGGGGAAAAUCACCCCUGUGGGUCCCCGUAUGGGGGCACG